This 552-nucleotide ribosomal RNA is filed under the name Leuconostoc mesenteroides. RNAcentral's name for it is "bacterial SSU rRNA". It matches the Rfam family "Bacterial small subunit ribosomal RNA", at positions 115 to 655 of the family's 1533-position model. The record is from RNAcentral. Lineage: Bacteria; Bacillati; Bacillota; Bacilli; Lactobacillales; Lactobacillaceae.
ACGUGGACAACCUGCCUCAAGGCUGGGGAUAAAGUUGGAAACAGAUGCUAAUACCGAAUAAAACUUAGUGUCGCAUGACAAAAAGUUAAAAGGCGCUUCGGCGUCACCUAGAGAUGGAUCCGCGGUGCAUUAGUUAGUUGGUGGGGUAAAGGCCUACCAAGACAAUGAUGCAUAGCCGAGUUGAGAGACUGAUCGGCCACAUUGGGACUGAGACACGGCCCAAACUCCUACGGGAGGCUGCAGUAGGGAAUCUUCCACAAUGGGCGAAAGCCUGAUGGAGCAACGCCGCGUGUGUGAUGAAGGCUUUCGGGUCGUAAAGCACUGUUGUAUGGGAAGAACAGCUAGUAUAUUUUUAUGAUUUUAGUUUGACGGUACCAUACCAGAAAGGGACGGCUAAAUACGUGCCAGCAGCCGCGGUAAUACGUAUGUCCCGAGCGUUAUCCGGAUUUAUUGGGCGUAAAGCGAGCGCAGACGGUUUAUUAAGUCUGAUGUGAAAGCCCGGAGCUCAACUCCGGAAUGGCAUUGGAAACUGGUUAACUUGAGUGCAGUAUA